Molecule: ribosomal RNA, 253 nt
Filed under: uncultured bacterium
Lineage: Bacteria
Description: partial 16S ribosomal RNA
Rfam family: Bacterial small subunit ribosomal RNA
Source: RNAcentral
UACGUAGGGGGCAAGCGUUGUCCGGAAUCAUUGGGCGUAAAGAGCGCGUAGGCGGCCCUGUAAGUCCGCUGUGAAAGUCCAGGGCUCAACCCUGGGAUGCCGGUCGAUACUGCCGGACUAGAGUUCGGAAGAGGCGAGUGGAAUUCCCGGUGUAGCGGUGAAAUGCGCAGAUAUCGGGAGGAACACCUAUGGCGAAGGCAGCUCGCUGGGACGUUACUGACGCUGAGACGCGAAAGCGUGGGGAGCAAACAGG